AUGGACUCGUGGACCAAAGAUUACCUCCACUACCCCUUCCACGGUCACACCUACCAUCUAAAGGAUAACCUUGGUCAUUGCCAAAGUAUGUCACGUGGGGCCAACAUCAAGCAGGUCCCAGCAGCAACCAAUGAAGGACAAAAUACCAAUGUGAAAAAAAUUAGCGAGGGCGAAUCGCGCGGGACUGCAAAUCUCCAGUCCCACCUAAUCCGCCCUGCCCGUCCUCUUUGCGCCGCCCCUCCCGUCGCCGCCGCCCCGCAUCCUCACCUUCCUACCCCUCCUCGAGCCUCCUGCAUCGCAUACUCGCACGUCGCCGUCCAGAUCCGUCCAAGAUGGGACGGCGCACCGGUGACACUGGUCUCAGGUGAGGAAGGCGGCAUUGGUGGCCUUCAUCGAGGCCAAGAACUCAUGGGGCUUCCGAUCUCCAUCAGACCUAUCUGUGAUGGAGUACGGUCAGUACAAAUUCGUUUUUUCUGGCUAUUCCAUCUGCGGAUGCGUGCAUAUUAUUAUUGUCACGUAGCUGCAGGCUUUCGAUCUCUGUUUUCCUCUGAUGUUGUGCUGCUAGGCUUGUCCUUGGUGGGGCAAUGCUCUUCGGAGCAGCAAUGCGAAUUUGUUGGAAUAUAUGGAGCAGGUCGCCACUCGACCUCCAUUCCCGGAUGUCAAGACGAGUCUGCAUUUAAGCAACUAGGUCUGAAAUCUGAAAAUCAGGUUUCACCAACAAGUAUGAAUGCCAUCGCUGAAGUUUGUAGGCCAUUUUGUUGCCAUUUCUCACUAUCUUCCAAAUCCUUCAAAUUUGCAGGUGCAGGAUAUGCAGGUUUAUUGUUCUCUGUAUUUAAGUUGGUUGUUCCAUCACCAGUAGGAACAGUUGGAACUCACAAAUUCUCCAUGACACUUGUGGUUAGGAGAUAUUAUAAUGAUGUGAAGGAUUGUUGGUUCAAUGAGAAUUUUCAGGAGGUGGCAAAAGUUGUGAUCGACACGGACAACAAGGGCAAGGAGGUUGGGCCGACCAUGCCAAAGGAGAUGGCCACGAAUGAGGACGUGGUGCCGGAGGAGCACCCUUGCAGCAAGCGCUGUAACUACGGCCACUACCAUGAGGAGGGAGGUCCAACCCACUUAUGCAAGGGUUGGGCCCCCUUCGUCGCAGUCCAUCAUAUCAGAAUUGGCUACAUGGUUACGUUCAAGCUGCUCACUCCCGGCACUGAAGUGGUGACCAAGUGCGGCAAGCAUGACGACGCCUUCGCCGUGAACAUCUAG
This 1254-nucleotide ribosomal RNA is filed under the name Triticum aestivum (bread wheat). RNAcentral describes it as "partial small subunit ribosomal RNA". The record is from RNAcentral. Lineage: Eukaryota; Viridiplantae; Streptophyta; Magnoliopsida; Poales; Poaceae.